RNA transcript from Pristis pectinata (smalltooth sawfish), 4323 nucleotides. It is a transcript of the gene named arginine/serine-rich protein 1, with no coding region annotated. NCBI's taxonomy places the organism in Eukaryota, Metazoa, Chordata, Chondrichthyes, Rhinopristiformes, Pristidae. The record is from RefSeq and is a predicted model, not a curated record. The transcript has 6 exons.
ACAAGAUGGUGGUAACAGAUGAAAGGAGGGUCAUUACCCUUGUGGAUUCGCCGAAGAAUCAAGGCAGUAACUGUAAACUGUCAAAUUCAGCUGAUUUAUCCUGGGAAUUGAUGAAAGAGAAAUCCGGCUUUGGUAAAAUGAAUUUGCAUGAAGAUCUGGAACCUGAACAAAUGCUUGAAAUUGGUAUUGAAAUGAAGUGGGAAACAGACGAAUGCAGUACACAGAAGCAGAAGGCUGAAAAAAUUGCCGUUGGUGUGGAUGAAUUAAGAAUUGCUUCUCCUGAUAAGCCUCAAAAGUGUGAGAGAGCAUCACGGUCCCGAACUCCUGGUUUCCAGAAAUCUAAAACCUCCAAGUCAGGUUCAGUAUCAUCUUUGGGAAGCUCUCGUUCAUCCUCUGCCAGCUCUAGAUCAGAUUCGGUUUCAUCCUCUGCCAGCUCACGAUCUGGUUCGGUGUCAUCUUCGAGUAGCUCUCGAUCUGGUUCAGUAUCGUCGUCCAGUAGCUCUCGAUCCAAUUCAGUCUCGUCUUCCGGUAGCUCUCAGUCAGGUUCAAUAUCCUCUUCUGGCAGUUCCAGGUCAAGUUCGGUGUCCUCUUCAGGCAGUUCCUGUUCCGGUUCAGUGUCCUCAUUAGAAAGAUACAGGUCAAGUUCAAGAUACACCACUUUGGCUUCAAGGUCCAGAUAUGUAUCACAAGAGAAGAGAUACAGAAGAUCAAGGCGAACCCAUUCAAGGUCUCGGUCUCGAAGUUGGUCAAGGUCUUGUUACCGAAGAUCCAGAUAUCAAAUGUCUUAUCGGUCACCGCUCAGGUACAGAUCCAGAUCAAGGUCCAGCUUGAGGUAUGGAAGAUCCCGCUCAGGAUCAAGGUCAAGAUAUUCAUCCAGAUUUCCGAGGAACUAUGAUAGUUAUAUGUACAAAACCCAUUCAUCAGCACACAGAAGAAGUCGAAGCAGAUCAAGAGGAAGAUCUAUUCACUUGACACAAAAAGAUAAAAAGACAUUGCUAGAAAUAGCAAAGGCAAAUGCUGAUAAAUUAUUUGGAAAGGGCAGCGUCCAGUUGCCACCUAGCUUGAAGCCUACCAGUCCUCUUAAAGAUGAGAAUUUUAAUUUUGAGAAGCACAACAGUGAUGCGGCAAAAGAGGUGACCAGAAGGGGAGCUUGUGACCUCUAUCAAGCCAUCUACUUGUAGAAGUAAGGGGAGAAUGGAGAAGCUUGGUGUAUUUCUUCCCAGUCAAAAGUCAAGGCAGUGCUAUAUUUGGUACUUCAUUAUACUGCAUUGUCUCCUAAUUAGAUUUGUCACGAUACAUCUUAAUUCCAGCGCACUGAAUGGUAUUUAGUUUGCUUGAAUCUUGAUGGCAAUACAGGUGGCACUUAAACCAUUUAUCCAUAUCCACUCUGUAAGGCAGUCUACAGAAUACUUGAUGAAAUGUGCUGCCUCAAUGAUGUCAUAUAUAUAUGUAGUAUACAUAUAUAAGCCUAUUUAGCCCAGCUGAAAAUUGUAUAUGAGCCUCUUUCCAUUCAUCUACCUCAUUGUAGCCUUUUUGUGUAUUUUCUCUUUUUCUCAUUAUUUCUUUUGAAAGCUAUUUGACAUAGCCACUUGAGUGGUGCUAAAUUCCACAUUUUAACCACUGGAUAAUGACAUUUGUCCUUAGUAGCCAGUGGGUUUUAUUUGUAACUGUUUUGAAUUUGUGGGCUCUAACUUUUGGAUUCUCCUACAUGGAGACAAUCUCUGCAUCUCUGUCCAACUCAUCCAUAAUUUUAAAAGGCAUCUAUCAGGUUUCCCCUAAGCCUUUCUAUGCUGGAAAACACUAUCUUCAAUCUGUAUAAUCUUUUCCAGAAGCUAUAAUCUAUUAUUCUGGUAUCAUCUUUGUAAAUCAUCACAGACAGACAGAGAUGCACGCACUUCCCUAUCCUUUUUCUAAGAUGGAGACCAGUACUAUGCACUCAGCCCCAGCUUGUGUCCUGUAUAAAUCUGAUUGUUCUUGAAACAAAUCUGUUAUUAGCAUUUUAAUUGCUCUGACUUGAUUUUUAAUGACUUUCUGUGUAUUGAGAUUCUUCACUCUUCUACCCAUUGUUUCUUAUUUUCUGAGGUGUAGGUGAUGCUUCUAUUCCUAUCAUUCCCACCAAAGUGAAUUGCAGAUAUGCUAAAUUUAAUUUGCCAUUUACAUGUUUAGUUUCCAAUAUUACAUUGUGUUGGAUGUCACCUCUAGUAUGAUGUGUAUUUUUUAAUACUGAUUUAAUGUUUCCAGAUACAGAUCCUUGAUAUUAAUUAUGAAUGUAUUGUAGAACACUGCUUUCUAACAUCUUUAUUUGAUAACUCUGCAUUUACCUGCUAAUUCGCCUUCCAUUGUUACUUGUUUCCUUACUCCAUAUCGUCUAAUCUUUGAGACUCCCAAAUCAAACUUACUUUAGUUUACUUUUUGUGGAUGGGAAAGAGGCCAUUUGUUGUUUUUAAAUUACUUUUAAUGGAACUUAUAUGUUGAGGCUACUUUGAACAUGGCAAAUCAAGAAAUGCCAGUAUAAUGAGAAAAGGUUUUUGCAGUGAUUGAUUGUACCAGUAAUUGAGCAGUGUGUUGUGAGAAAGGUAGCUUCUGUUCACACUAAAUAUUGCUGACAACAGUUCAACACGUUUGAUGGUGGCUUUGAAACAUUUUUAGGCAACCCAUGUUAAUUAAAUGGUUCAUCCAGAUGACCCAUUAAUAACUAGCUAAGUAUAAAUUUAAGUACAAACAAACCAUUUUGUAUAGGCAAGAACCAGCCUUCAAUUUGUUGAUAUUCUGUUUUGAAAUGAUCUGCAAUUGUAAAAAGACCUGUUUGCAAAGGGAACAGCAGCAACCACCAUCUCUGUGGGAUUGAGCCAUGAAUAAAACACAUUUUGGCAACUUUUUUAAACGUUACCCUUACUUUGGCCUCUGAUCUAAGAGACCUAUAGUGUUUCAAACACUUUUUUCCCUUUAGCAUUUAAAGUGUCUGUUUAAAUUAUUGGCUUGAUGAGUUUAAACAGAGCUCAGACAGCCUAUCUUUAAUUGGAAUGUGUUUGCUUCUAUUUUGGCUUUGUUUCGAGCAGGAUUCUGCCCACAGUAGGCAUUGAAUUGACUGACUAAUGUUGGUUAUGUAAUGGUGGUGUGAGUGACAUUGUAUUACUUGAAGUUGAGGUAUGAUGCAUUAUUGGAUGCAGUAUGGAGGGAGCUUCACUCUGCAUGUUAAUGGUGCACUUGACCUUGGAGUGCUAGAUCUGAUGUUGGGUAAGAAGACCCACUUGUUACUCUAAGCAGAGGGAAAACAAAAUUACCAUUCCAUGCUUUGUGCAGCAAUGCUAUAUUUAACGUGGAAUAGAAUAAUUUGCAAUCUGGUCUGGAACACAGUUAAAGCAUUGAGCAGUUCAAAUAAUGAUUACUGAAGUCAGCAUUACUCAAAUCAGUUCUUGAAGUUUGCCAUCCAUGAUUUCCCAUUGAUAAAUAUCACUUAAUUCUUUCAAGUGCACUGAGGCAUAUGAAGCUGAGGUUUGACUAACUGCUGCUGUUGGAUUUGGUAUUGUCCAUGCAUAAACUUUUGUUCUAGGAUUUUCUUGUCCUCAUAAUUUAUUCACUGUGUUCCAGGAGGUUUUGAAUAUCAGAUCUUUGCCGAAGAAGAGGCCAACGUUUUUUGAAGAUAAGUUCAUUGGCUUUUAUAGCCUAGAAUAUACCUUAUCAACAUGGCUGCAUACAGUUAUACACUCAAGUAUCACUUGACGCAUUACAGAAAAUGCUCAGAAGCAUUUGUGCUCUUAAGUUAGAAUUAUCAUUGAACUAAAAUGUUCAUGGUAAUUCACAUUGAUGUAAAUCGUUACAGAUUUCAUGAAAUAAUUUGUGCCCAAUAAUCUUGAUCAGAAAUUCUGGAACCUCAGCAUUUCAAAUCUCAAUCUAUAUCCUUGGUUGAACAUGUUAAAAUAAGGUUGAUGUUUUCUGAAUUGUUGGCCAUUCAAUGCACAUUUGCAGAACUAGAACUAGUAUAGUGCCAAGCUGCAAGAACCAAUAGCAACUUUUCUCAAUAUUCUACCACAAGUAGAAUAAUAGUGACGUAUAUUUCAAAAUCCACUGAUAUAAUAAUGGGUUUGUCCAGCCAGUGCUAAAUGUUUUAUUCUGAAUUGUCUGAAUGUCAAUUGUAAUUUUCAUUGGAUUGGCCAUUGUUUUUCUAAUGCAGAAACACGUAAAUGAAGCUGAAGAAGAUGAACCAGUUCGGAAGUUAGAAAGUGCCCCUGCAAGAUUGGAAACAAACCACUGGAUAGCUUUCAGUGUUAAAAAUACAGUGGCAAAACCGUUGAAUCAAAAGUCACCAAAUGGCCCUGUAAA